This 566-nucleotide ribosomal RNA is filed under the name Penicillium madriti. Its description in RNAcentral is "eukaryotic LSU rRNA". The stretch from base 187 to 340 matches the Rfam family "5.8S ribosomal RNA". Lineage: Eukaryota; Fungi; Ascomycota; Eurotiomycetes; Eurotiales; Aspergillaceae. The record is from RNAcentral.
AAGGAUCAUUACUGAGUGAGGGCCCUCUGGGUCCAACCUCCCACCCGUGUUUAUUGUACCUUGUUGCUUCGGCGGGCCCGCCUUUACGGCCGCCGGGGGGCUCACGCUCCCGGGCCCGCGCCCGCCGAAGACACCCUCGAACUCUGUCUGAAGAUUGUAGUCUGAGUGGAAUUAUAAAUUAUUUAAAACUUUCAACAACGGAUCUCUUGGUUCCGGCAUCGAUGAAGAACGCAGCGAAAUGCGAUACGUAAUGUGAAUUGCAGAAUUCAGUGAAUCAUCGAGUCUUUGAACGCACAUUGCGCCCCCUGGUAUUCCGGGGGGCAUGCCUGUCCGAGCGUCAUUGCUGCCCUCAAGCACGGCUUGUGUGUUGGGCCCCGUCCCCCAAUCCCGGGGGACGGGCCCGAAAGGCAGCGGCGGCACCGCGUCCGGUCCUCGAGCGUAUGGGGCUUUGUCACCCGCUCUGUAGGCCCGGCCGGCGCUUGCCGAUCAACCAAACUUUUAUCCAGGUUGACCUCGGAUCAGGUAGGGAUACCCGCUGAACUUAAGCAUAUCAAUAAGCGGAGGAA